RNAcentral lists this ribosomal RNA (253 nucleotides) under uncultured bacterium. RNAcentral's name for it is "partial 16S ribosomal RNA". It matches the Rfam family "Bacterial small subunit ribosomal RNA", at positions 524 to 776 of the family's 1533-position model. The record is from RNAcentral.
UACGUAGGGUGCGAGCGUUAAUCGGAAUUACUGGGCGUAAAGCGUGCGCAGGCGGUUUUGUAAGACAGGCGUGAAAUCCCCGGGCUUAACCUGGGAACUGCGUUUGUGACUGCAAGGCUAGAGUACGGCAGAGGGGGGUGGAAUUCCACGUGUAGCAGUGAAAUGCGUAGAGAUGUGGAGGAACACCAAUGGCGAAGGCAGCCCCCUGGGUCGAUAUUGACGCUCAUGCACGAAAGCGUGGGUAGCAAACAGG